Molecule: long non-coding RNA, 898 nt
Filed under: Monodelphis domestica (gray short-tailed opossum)
Lineage: Eukaryota; Metazoa; Chordata; Mammalia; Didelphimorphia; Didelphidae
Description: lncRNA (ENSMODG00000040815.1)
Source: RNAcentral
GAUUCUAUGAACUCAAAAUUCUCCUGCUUGGUCCUUCAUAAGGCUUUGCCAUAAUUGCCAGAGACAGAUCAUAAAGUAUCCUGAGGCAAGACCAGGCUCCUUAAUAUACUGCCCCAGUCACUGUGCCUUCUUCCCGCUGUCCGCUUGGCUUUUAAUAAUGGUUUAAUGAAAAACCCAGAAUUAAUUGGAAGUGGCACCAGACACUCUCGGGGCUCACUGCAGGCUCCUUGACAUCCAUGUUUUAUAAGCCAUGUGCCAGAGUGAGUUUGCUGUUCUCAGUCCCUGAGGACGGUGAGUCAGAUGGGAGGAGGGCAGGGAUCAGGGAGAAAGGGAAAUGCUAAGCCCUGAUACAGUGGCUGAAUCCUUGGAGACCUCUUCUGGCAGGAAGAUAUUCCUUCCUAUAGCCAUCCCUUCUCUGAGUCCCUGCUGGGUCCCUUGCCCUAUGCCCAAGCUAAGAGGGAGGGCAAAGGUAAACAAAGCCCAGCCCAGAAAUCAUUUGAAUCCUUCCCCUCACUUUACAAAUGAGGAAACUGAGGCUCAGAAAGGCCAAAAAAUCUUGCUCCAGAUCACACAGCUAGUUAAUAGCAGAGCCAGGAAGUCAACUUGUUCCACUGCCCAGAAUUAUAACAGCCAAUGGAUUGACCCACCACUGGAAGAACUGAAUCAAGUAACUCUUUGGGAUUCUUGGUGUAAAUGAAACCAGAUGCUACAAGGCAGUUGAAACUCAAUGGAAGGAUACCUCACAGGUACUCCCCAGAGGUGGGACCAAUUUUGUUUUUGUUUCUGUCCGAUGCCCAAAGGCAACAGCGUGCAUUAUUAUUAUUUGUAUCCUCAGCGCCUGGCAUGGGGCUUGGCACAUAGUAGACCCUUAAUAAAUACUUUUGCCUUCAUUAUUUCA